RNAcentral lists this ribosomal RNA (496 nucleotides) under uncultured bacterium. RNAcentral describes it as "partial 16S ribosomal RNA". It matches the Rfam family "Bacterial small subunit ribosomal RNA", at positions 29 to 507 of the family's 1533-position model. The record is from RNAcentral.
AUGCACGCUGGCGGCGUGCCUAAUCCAUGCAAGUCGCGCGAACGGACGAGAAGCUUGCUUCUCUGAUGUUAGCGGCGGACGGGUGAGUAACACGUGGAUAACCUACCUAUAAGACUGGGAUAACUUCGGGAAACCGGAGCUAAUACCGGAUGAUAUUUUGAACCGCAUGGUUCAAAAGCGAAAGACGGUCUUGCUGUCACUUAUAGAUGGAUCCGCGCUGCAUUAGCUAGUUGGUAAGGUAACGGCUUACCAAGGCAACGAUGCAUAGCCGACCUGAGAGGGUGAUCGGCCACACUGGAACUGAGACACGGUCCAGACUCCUACGGGAGGCAGCAGUAGGGAAUCUUCCGCAAUGGGCGAAAGCCUGACGGAGCAACGCCGCGUGAGUGAUGAAGGUCUUCGGAUCGUAAAACUCUGUUAUUAGGGAAGAACAUAUGUGUAAGUAACUGUGCACAUCUUGACGGUACCUAAUCAGAAAGCCACGGCUAACUACGUG